UUAAGUUCAGCGGGUAGUCCUACCUGAUCCGAGGUCAACAUAUGGCGGUCCCUCCCUCGCCGCGAGGCACGGGGGUCCCUAUGUCGGGGGUUUUACGGCAGGCCCAGCUGCUUCUCCCAGGGCAUCUAACGGUGAAGUUACUGUACCCGGGGCCCGCAGCCGGACCGCGCACUUCUGCUUGGGGGCCUAGAGGGGGCUUC
Molecule: unclassified non-coding RNA, 200 nt
Filed under: Hypocreales sp.
Lineage: Eukaryota; Fungi; Ascomycota; Sordariomycetes; Hypocreales
Description: partial internal transcribed spacer 2
Source: RNAcentral